This 902-nucleotide ribosomal RNA is filed under the name Boeremia exigua. Its description in RNAcentral is "LSU rRNA". It matches the Rfam family "Eukaryotic large subunit ribosomal RNA", at positions 53 to 974 of the family's 3401-position model. Lineage: Eukaryota; Fungi; Ascomycota; Dothideomycetes; Pleosporales; Didymellaceae. The record is from RNAcentral.
GUUACUUAGUAACCACAGGGAUUGCCCUAGUAACGGCGAGUGAAGCGGCAACAGCUCAAAUUUGAAAUCUGGCGUCUUUGGCGUCCGAGUUGUAAUUUGCAGAGGGCGCUUUGGCAUUGGCAGCGGUCCAAGUUCCUUGGAACAGGACGUCACAGAGGGUGAGAAUCCCGUACGUGGUCGCUAGCCUUUACCGUGUAAAGCCCCUUCGACGAGUCGAGUUGUUUGGGAAUGCAGCUCUAAAUGGGAGGUAAAUUUCUUCUAAAGCUAAAUACUGGCCAGAGACCGAUAGCGCACAAGUAGAGUGAUCGAAAGAUGAAAAGCACUUUGGAAAGAGAGUUAAAAAGCACGUGAAAUUGUUGAAAGGGAAGCGCUUGCAGCCAGACUUGCCUGUAGUUGCUCAUCCGGGUUUUUACCCGGUGCACUCUUCUAUAGGCAGGCCAGCAUCAGUUUGGGCGGUUGGAUAAAGGUCUCUGUCACGUACCUCCUCUCGGGGAGAACUUAUAGGGGAGACGUAAUGCAACCAGCCUGGACUGAGGUCCGCGCAUCUGCUAGGAUGCUGGCGUAAUGGCUGUAAGCGGCCCGUCUUGAAACACGGACCAAGGAGUCUAACAUCUAUGCGAGUGUUUGGGUGUCAAGCCCGAGCGCGUAAUGAAAGUGAACGGAGGUGGGAACCUUUCGGGGUGCACCAUCGACCGAUCCUGAUGUCUUCGGAUGGAUUUGAGUAAGAGCAUAGCUGUUGGGACCCGAAAGAUGGUGAACUAUGCUUGAAUAGGGUGAAGCCAGAGGAAACUCUGGUGGAGGCUCGCAGCGGUUCUGACGUGCAAAUCGAUCGUCAAAUUUGGGCAUAGGGGCGAAAGACUAAUCGAACUAUCUAGUAGCUGGUUCCUGCCGAAGUUUCCCCC